Non-coding RNA from Callithrix jacchus (white-tufted-ear marmoset), 9584 nucleotides. NCBI's taxonomy places the organism in Eukaryota, Metazoa, Chordata, Mammalia, Primates, Cebidae. The record is from RefSeq and is a predicted model, not a curated record.
GCAGUGUCAUGUGCCUGUAAUCCCAGCUACUCAGGAGGUUGAGGCAGGAGAAUCGCUUGAACCUGGGAGGCGGAGGUUAUAGUGAGUAGAGAUUUCGCCAUUGCACUCCAGCCUGGGUGACAGAGUGAGAUUACAUCUCAAAAAAAAAAAAAAGAACCUUAAGGGCUAAAAGAGUGGUUUGGUAUCCUUACUGGCAGUUUUGGUUUGCCUUCUCUAAGUGGUCUUGUGCAAUUCCCCAGAGAAAACAUUUGAGGAGGGUUUUUCUCCCACAUGAGAGAGUUUCAUCCCACACAACCCACAGAAUUUGACGGCAAACUUCACGGACCAAGUGUCUGGUUUUAUAUAAGUGGCUGUGGAGUAUGUUUUUCUUUCACAGGUGCACAUUUAUUCUACCUUAGGAAUAAGAAGAGAUCAUUUUAUUUUAAAGAGGGUAGCUUAAACACUGAAUAUCUCUGAGAAUUGGAUGCCAAUCAGGUAGGCUUUUAUUUACUAAAUGAGGGGGAAAAGGGUGGAAAAAAGGAUUAAAACUUCCAAAGCCUUUCUAGCUGAUCUUUGUUUACAACCAUCUGGUGUGCACAGAAGUAUUGUAUAAUCUGGCCUGUAUUUUUCUCUUACUGUGAAACAUAUUGAAACGCUUUAUGUUUAGGUGUGUGUGUAGAAAUUCAUGAAGCUCUUUUAUACACUUUCUUAGUUCCAUCGCAAUUCUCAUUUUAGGAUGUUGUGAGAAGAUAGCCUGGUGAGAGAGCAUAUUCUAAACGUGCCUUGCAAAUUUGGAUUUGUUCUUUCCUAUCUACCAGCCACCUGAUGACUCCCUGUGCAAAGGGCACCGGUUCACAUCAUUUUUUCCAAGUGCUAAAACCUGGAAAGAUAUUUUUUAAAGGACUCACAGAAGCUGUCUUGGGGGUUUGGAAAACAUCACAAAAUUGUUAGCAGACCUUUUGGCUGUGCUAUUUUUAGGAAGUUAACUGUGUUCUUUUAAAGUCAAUUUUUGACAAUGGGACAACGUUUUCCUUGCCCCCACUGAUGUGUGAAAUAUCUACAAUGAAAAACCUCAGUAGAACAUUCCCAAACAGAUACAUUUUAACCUCAGCAACCAUCAGCAACAGGAUAAAAAGUGAUUUAAAAAGAGAAAGGUUUUCGCAAUAUUUAUGCUGCUGUAUCUUCCCCGAAGGAGCUUUUAUUUUACCAUUCAAACGGAAGUUUGUUUUCAAACCAGUCGCUAAAGGAGCAGCGGCAAGAAUCAGCUCUAAGCCAACAGCAAGCGCGCGGGCAAAAGUGGCCGGUUCCCGCAGCCGCCGCGUGGGUCGGCCGCCCGCAGAAGCGCCGUCUUACCUUGAGCGCGCAGGACUGGGAGAGGCUCACGGGCUCCCACGGAGAGGGCCGGGAAGGCUGCGUGCGAUCCGCCGCAGGCGACACGCGCUCGGCUUUUAUGGGCAGGUGGGAGGAGCCGCCCCUCAUGGGUGUUUUCUGUGCAUUUGGGAAUUUGGAAAGCUGCACAGCGGUCGGGAGAAAUGAAGAGCUCCUGAGCCAGGCAAGGGAGGGGAAGCCUGGCGUCCGAGCACGCAGCAGAGCCACAGGGCAGGGCAGGCGGGACCCGGCCCCAGGCAGCCCCCGGCCCGGCCUGUCCCGCCGCCCGCAGGGGAAACUCAGCCCGUCCCUCUCCCGGCACACAAGGCUUAUUGGACGAGAAAUCUGCGCUGCCUGUCCUGUGAGCGUCCAGAGGCCCCUCUUGAGACUUCGGCAGCAUUGAAGUAAAUCCAGCGACCUUGGGGAGGAUCCGUGGACUUGCUGGGGGAGAGAGGAACCUCAGAAGCAGCCUAGGUCUUCCAGCAUCUGCUUAUGUAACAGGAUUUCAGAGCUCUCUGCUGUCUGGUUAUUUUCAGUAUUUAAAACACUCCCAUUCCUAACAACCUGAAAACGUCUUGGUGCCACAGUUCUUAUCAGUGUGUCUUAAACAUUAAGAGAGGAUUCAACCAACAAGUGGCUAAAGGAUCAGUCUGAAAUUACUAAGAAAUGCAUUCAGAGAAAGAAAAACAAGCUCCUUUCACUGCGGAGUGGUGACUCACUUCCUAGCCCAAGCUUGAUUUUUGCCACCAAAGGAAUUAAAGCAUUUUAAAAGAGAACCUGAGACUUGGGUUGGGAAAUACGGUACCGGGAGGGAGGAAAGCGGGGGAAUGGGAGCGGGGGAGGGAUGGGCAGCCUAGAAGAAAUGAAAAAAUGAACUUGUACUGAAUAUGUGUAUAUGUACUGGAUUCAGUGUUCACCACAACCUUAUGAGGUAGCUAUGAUUGAUAUUGAGCAGAUUUUUUUUUCUUAAGUUUGGAGAAAGGCAUCUAUCUCUAAGGGUUUAGACAACGAUCUCAAGCUAGCGAGAGGGAGAGCCACAGCUAGCGAGCUUGCAACCCUUAGGCACUCUUCAGUACAGCAGGCUGCCAUAUAGAACACCUGGGUUGGUCUCAGGUUAGAUCCUGAUGUCUUUGGCUGGUACCAGGUUCCAAGAGAAGGAAACAUGAUGUUGAAAAGCAGAAUUCCUCAAUCUCAGCACUACUGACAUUUUCGGGAGGAUACUCGUCUGUUGCAGGGACCUCUCCUGUGCAUUGUAGAAGGUUAUGCAGUAUUCCUGGCCUCUACCCACCAGAUGCCAGCAGCAGUACCCACUCCGGACUCCCCACCCAGCUGUGAAAAUAAAAAAUGUCCCUAGACAUAGCCACAUGUCCCUAAGGGGCAAAAUCCCCUCUCCUCUUCUAAAGAACUAUUGAUCUAGAAAAGGUUCCACAACUGUGAAAAAGGAUUUUAAAAGAAUCUAUUAAGAAAAUCCCCAGUAGUGCCAUUUGGCUAAUAAUAAUACUUACGACCAUAUGUGCUGCGUUUACACUGGACUUACUUUUUUACAUACGUAUUUCCAUCUGUUAGCUUCAAGAGCUCAAAGCCUCAAUUGCUUCCUUUGUAACUAGGCUCAUUCUCAAUUGGUUACUCCUGGGAGUCAACGAAGUAAACUCCCAUGUGCCUGGGAUAUGAAGAAAGAUCAAUCAUAUAUGAAAUAAAAAAUUCAAGAUUUUUUAUCAUAAACACAAAUUUGACAGAGUUUUUAAAUUUACUCACUAUGUUUUGCAUUACUGAUUAUUUGCCUUAAUUUUUGUAAUUUUUUAUCUCUGUGUUCCCUAUUCAAAUUAUAUUCAAUAUUAUUUUUGGCUGCACAAAGUGAUAACUAGUGGUUUACUAGCUAGCAGAAAAUAAGUGCUCAAUAAAUAUGUAUAGUCUGCGUAAUAUUGAGCACUGACAAUAGAGAACGGUCAGCAUUGGUGAGUUUAAUGAAUGCUUAGAAAGCUAAAACGUUCACAUCAGGUUUUCUGCCCAUUUGCUAUUUAGUUUUACUCUUUUCUUACCCUCCAAAUGGAAAGGAAAACUCCAUACUCAGUUUUCCUUUUCCCAAAACGUAUGUCUUUGGAGGAUGUGGCCAAAUCUACUGAGUGAAGUCUGUCAAACGAAUCUUGUUACUCGACCUAGAAAGAGGACUGCGUUGUCUAGUCUUAGACCUACCCCUGAAAUCAGAUGUGAUUUUACACGCAUGAUACCACUUUUGGAACUUUUUAAUUUAGCAAAGAAAUGUGUUCUGGGUAAAUAAAAUGGGACUCUGUUAGAAGAGAAUCUGGGUGAUAAAGCAUGAUAGUCAAUACCUUUAUCAGAUUAGAACAAACCAUCUUUUCAAUCCUAAAUUAAUGCCUCUCAAACAUUCCAGUUCCAUCACAUAUGUGUGAAAAAAAGAAAAGGAAAAGGCAAGAAAAGCAUAUUUGAAGAAAAGACAAUGGAUGGCUGUAGGCUGUCUUUCUUGUGUUUUCUCCUUUCCUCCUUUCAAACCUGAAUAUCCAGCCAACAGAACAAAAGCGCUGCUUUCAUUUUGUUCGGAUGGUGCUAAUGAUUAGUUCCUUUCUCCAGUUCACACUUGCCUGAGUCUGAUUCAGGAGCGGACCUGGACAACAACUUGGGAAUCCAGGAAUGUGAUCUCUUUGCUGACGCUGAGUAUGCCCUUCCUAGAAUCUCUCUGAAGGUGACUUAGGUUUGAAAUGACCUAGUUUGGUCUUGUGUGGAAAGAAUGGAAUCCAAUGACAACAUGCUAGAUGUUCUGAAGUUUCCAUUGUGUGCCUGUAACAGCCACAGAUCAUUACCUUACUUCUGACAGCUUUGCACAUGUAAUCCUUUCUUGGAGUUUAUUUAGAAUUAAUCAGUUAACAAAUAUUUAUUAAGAGUGGAUAUCAGAGAGUGUGAGGUAUUCAAAGCAGAGGAAAAUAUGACCUCUGUUCUCGCAGAGGAAGAAAAGCUUGAAAUUCAGAUAGCUGAAUUUUAGUAAAGAAACUUCAGAGGGAGGUGGCAUUUGGGCUGAGCCAUGGAAAGUAGCAUUUGAAUAGAUGAGUGAUGGACAGAAGUACAUUCCAGGUGAGCGAGGGAAUGUGUGCACCCAGGGAAGUCCCGGGAAUAUUAUUCAGAAGGUGGUGAAGUGGCCAGCAUGACUGAACACAUGGGUCCAUGCAGUGGAACGAUGAGGCUGAGAAACGGAGAGGAGGGAUGAGGUCAGUUGUGGAAGGUCUUAAAUGUCACCUCAGUAGUCUGAAGUGCAUUCUGUAGGCAACACAAAAUCAACGAAGACUUUUGAGUAGUAGAAUGGCAUGGUGAAAAAUGGCAUAUUUUCAGGAUUUCAUUUUUCUUUGAAUAUAGGGUCUUUAUUGUAGCUUUGCAGAAGAAUGCUUGCCUGAACAUCUUGGGUUGUUACCAUACUUAGCAAUACAGAAAACAGAGUCUCUGUGUCCUGCAGAUUUGGAGGCCUGAGCAAGGUGGCAGCAACAGUAGUGGUUCUAGCCCAGUUUCCCCGGAGUGCCCAUGUGGUUUUAGGAAGCCGGUAGGAAGGCAGGACUCCUCACAGUGUGGCCAGGAUGUCAUAUGGGAUUCACAUGAAGGGUGGUGUCUUCUCUGCGUGUCUGAGGAGCCCAGUCUCUUCCUCGCCUCCUGUAGCUUUGUAUUAUUCCUAAAUAACAUGCCUGAUGCAUGAGAUCCUUGAGUUUUUAAGGAUUCCUGGAGUGGGAAACAAUGGGAUCUGGCUUUUAAAACCGCACAUUCACGUCUAUGUUCUCAACAGCUAACUUUCAAUUAUUUUUUUUGUGUGUUGUCCUUGCCAGAUUUCAAGCUUUCAUUCUUCCUUUCACUCCUUAGAGCUUGAAAAUGCAAAUGAAUGUGGCUUUUGGCCUAAGCAAAAGUCACAGACAGGUGUGCUCACUUGAAACAAAUCUGCCAAUUUGAAAUAUGGUGUACUGAAAUUUGCUCUCCCUCAAAUGACUCAUCAGUCAGUUUUAGCCCGUGCUAAGCAUGACCAAAUAUGAUGGCAGUCUCUAAGGCGCUUAAAAUUGCCAACCCUCCUAUGGCAUUUAAAAUGGGGUUUUAUUUACAAAAAUGGAAAACGCUUUAUAGCGCAGAAGAAAGGCACACCUCUUACACAUUCCAAAGGACUGUUGGAUUUUGUGAGUCACUGUUUUCCUGUUGGCCCAUGGGGUAGAGCUGACUGAUGGGGGUGAUCCCACGGAUGACUGCCUCACAGCUCCCGCUGGCUUGGUAAAGAGCACUGCAUGGGGAGUCAGGAAAUCUGGAAUUUAGUCCAAGCUCUGCCACUGACUACCUACGUGAAAACUUGGAGUGAAAACUUGGGGCAGGUGUUUUAUCUUUUUGGAUUCAGUGUCUGCAUUUGCAAAUGUGUUUGCAUUUGUAAGACAAGGAAGCUUAACCAGACCCUCUCUAAGGCUCUUUCCACUUUCCAGAUGCCUGCUCUGUGCCAGUUGGUGGGCACUCCACCUACUCAACAUCCCCAUGAAGUCAACCCAACAUACAAUGAUAUACAUGCUCAAUUUAGGCACGUGUAUUCAGAUUCUCCAGAUUAACAGCACCAGUAGGAGGUGCACACACACACACACACACACACACACACAUACACACACCCCACAUACAUAAUAUAAAAAACUCAUGUAUAUAUAUGAGUUUAUUAGGGAUAACUGAAUUGCAUGAAUACAAGGCAAAGUCCCACCAUAGGCCACCUGCAAGCUGGGGAAAGAGAGAAGCUGGUAGUGGCUGAAGCCUCAAAACCAGGGAUACUGACAGUGCAGCCCUCAGCCUGAGGCCAAAGGCCUGAGAGCCCAUGGGGGCUGCUGCUGUGAGUCCCAGAGUCCAAAGGCUGAAGAACCUGGAGUCUGAUGUCCAAGGACAGGAGGAGGAGAAGCUGAGCUUCCAGCACCGCACAGGAAGAGAGAGAGAACAAUCUGACUCAGAAAGCAGCUUCUUCCGCCUGCUUUGUUCUAGCUGCCCUGGCAGCUGCUUGGAUGGUGCCCACUUACACUGAGGAUGUCUCUUCCUCUCCCAGUCCACUGACUCAAAUGUCUGUCUCCUCUGGCAACGCCCUCACAGACCCACCCAGAAGCAAUGCUUCAUCUGCCAUCUAGGUAUUCCUCAAGCCAGUCAGGUUGAUGCCUGACGUUAACCAUCACGACAUGGAAAUAAGAGCUCACAAUUCAUUACUCCAGUGUUUGCUACAGGGAGUGCACACCGUAAUAUUAAACCUUAUUUGUACCCUAGGUACAGAAUCCCAAAGGGUGGGGCAGACCACUGUUCCUCAAGUAGCUCUUGACUGCAUCCAUUGCCUCUCUAAGUUUCAGGACUUGCUAAGCACCUCCUAGACCAGCCAUCUACCUUUUAACGCUAUUCUUCUGAAGCAAAUAGUAUUGUCCUUUUGAUUGAUGGAAAUGUAACCACAUCACACAGUUCUCUGGUUUCUGAACAUUUUCCCUAUCAUGCCAGAUUCACUUGAUGUCUGAAUACAUUAGGUCGAUUUCCUAAGAAGCUCUCAACUUCCACUGUACACUGUUUCCUCUCCCCAGUGCUGCACCCCUUCAUUUAAGUAGGAAAAAUUGGUCACCCUUUUUUGCUAUAGACAAAAUUAUUGUAGCUCUUUCUCAUUUUCCAAGCUAUUAGUCUUUUAUUGAAGUCUCUGAACCCUUUUUCCAGCUUUCGCUCUCCCUAUUAUGUCAACGAAAGUCACUUCAACCUUUUUUCUAUUCCUUAAGAAAUUUAAUUGUUGAGAUUAUCUCAUGGGGGCCAAGUAAUGGAGGGAGACCAAUGUAGCCCAGGUAUUUUUUUUUCCUACUCGAGGGUAGAAAACUAAAAAGCCUUCCAGGGCAGUAGAGAAACAGAAUUCGUGCCCACUGUGUGCUCUCUUAGACCCUAGCUACCACAUGGGAAUUGUCUUGAUCCUAGACUUUCCUGAUGAAUGUUUCCUUAUCUCUGCUUUAUCUUCUAUCUUCUGUUCCUUCUACUCAAGGGAUUUAGUCUCUUAUGUACUUAUUAAUAUUUACCUCAUAUUCAGUGUUAAUAAAUCCAAUAUUUUCUGCUCGCAGUUAUAUCUUACACAACCUAAGAUUUUUCAUGAUUUGAAAACUCUGAUUUGAAAGGCAAAAAUGAUGAUCUGAGAUGAGAGAUCUAGCAGGUUGUGCUGGCCUGAGACUGGCAAGUCCUAUUCCCAAGUCACCUCCCGUGUUGCCUCCAGAGCAGUCACCGUAAACCCAGCAAUGAUCAUGUGAUACCCGCGUUCAGGCGUUGUUGAUGGCAUCACUCAUUCACAGAAAAACCUAAAUCUGUGUUUGGCGUUCAAGGCCCCUUUGCAAGGUUCAGGCCCAGUUUUUACUUCUGGUCUGAUUUACAUUCUUUAUGCUUCAGUCAGGGGAAAUAAUCUGCCUUUCAAAAUAUUUGUUCUACUUCUCGGCUUCUGCGUGGUGGCUGAUGGAAUGCCUGCUGCUGGGGCCUGCGGACACAUGCUCAAAUCCUUUAUUACCUCCAUGACACCUUCAAGAAAUGCUUGCUGGCUAGUUUUCUGAACCGCCUAGGAAAAUUGGUACUUCUCUAUGCAAUAGUUUUGCAGUCCACCUCGUCUUAUACAUAUGCUAACCUCUUCUUUUCAACUUUACUGCCCUUUCCUUGAAAGCCUAGCCCUCUUCCCUGACACCAAGCCUAGCAUAGAGUAAGGAGGUCGAUAUUAACUGUGGGUUGUGGAGAUUAAAAAAUAAAUAAUUAAAUAGUCUCUUACCUUUCUCUGUUCCCAGCCCACUUUACCUCAUUUGGCUCAAAACAAAACAAAAACAAACAUUUAGAGUUUCCUAGUCCAUUUCUUGCAGGAUCAUAGAAAUGAGUUCUGAAGAUCAAUAUGGCUUGCUUCCCACUUUUGAGGAUUUUAAAUAGUCUUACAGGGGAGGGAGGAAGACAAAUAGAUAAUUUCCCUUCACCGAGGUCAGUUCUACGGGAACAGUAAGUACAGGGCUCUAUAGGAGAUCUGAUGGAGCCCGCUCAUGGGAGGGAGCUUUGAGGUGGUUACUCAGAAUGCCAGGUAUGAGAAAACAUCUUUAAGUAACACACAGAAAAGAAAAGCUUGGUUCAUCUCUGUGCUUUUUGGGAUAAAAAGACAAUGAUAUGCUUUAUAUAUUUUGGUUGAAGAUCGGGAGGUUCUGGCUGCAUGUUGGCCAGGAAACUAACUCUUUCUGCCAGGUGAGUCAGUCGAGGUGGGAGGGUUAUUUGAACAGAUGUGUUUCAACAUUGCUUUGAAAUAUAAAGGGUCAGAAUAUACUCUUCUGUAAAUACCACUGCACACUAAGAGUCUUGCCUGACUGACUGAACAAAAAUCACACCUAAUGCUAAAUGCACUUGGGAACUGGAAUACUUAAUUUUGGGCCCUCUGUGAUGGCUUGACACUCUCAUGGUGUCUAAUUCCCAUCUAUUUCCUUUAAGAUAAAUAAUCUUCUAAGAUAUCCUCAGAGUCUCUGUGACAUUGACGGGGGCAAUUUAGAGCUCCAUAGACCUUGGCUUCUGUAUUAUUUAUGAAUUGAUUCCCUAAAUGUGGACAUAUAAUGGUUGGCCCUUGUCAUUUCUGCUUAGAACCACCAUAUGGUUUUGUGAGCGCACUGAGCUUGCCAGUACCAGAUCUCUCCAUUUCUGGCAGCCUGUUUGUUUUCCUAGAAGGAAAGUCAGACUCUUGGAGUUUCAUUUUAUGCAUAAGGAAAUAGGUAAGUCCCUUUGCCAGAACAUCACAGCCAUUGCACGUGACUAAAUGAACUUCAGAUCACUAGGUAAAGGAGUGGGAAGAGACAUGACCUGUUAAGCAACGAGACUUAAAUUCUUGUGCAAAAAAAGUGGUCAGAUCUCAUGAAGCUCCGUAAGUUGUAACUCAUAGUUUUGGCCUUCUUGGAUUUCAUAGAAGGAAUUUGUGUCAUUCUGUCUUGGUCUCGUUUCUUCUGUUUUCUAAUUUCCUUAUUCUCUCACAUUUUUUAUUUAUCCUUUCCGCAUUUUGCAUUCUGUCUGGAACACUUCAUUUUUUAUUAGACUUUCUGUGCUGUAUUUAUUAUCGUAGCAUAGAGAGUUUUUGUUUGUUUGUUUAGACAGGGUCUCACUCUAUCACCUAGGCUGUAGUGCACUGGCACAAUCUAGUCUUACUGUGACCUCCACCUCCAGGGCUCAGGCAAUCCUCACAUCUCAGCCUCCCAAGUUGCUGGGACCACAGACAU